ACUUGAACGUUGCCAGCUCCCGCACCCCAGUCCAGAUGCACUUGUGCGGUAGGAAUGCGAUACACUGCCCCCCCUGCCACUCUCACAGCAAUAGAUUUCCCCGGCUUUUCCAACGCGUUGAUGCGAUGUCGUUGCACUAGGGUGAUGGUAGCGCCACUGUCUCUUAGCCCCCGUGCUGUCUUUCCGUUGACCAUUACCAGCUGACAAUGG
Pelobates cultripes (western spadefoot toad) is the source of this 210-nucleotide non-coding RNA. The record is from the annotation of a GenBank genome assembly. NCBI's taxonomy places the organism in Eukaryota, Metazoa, Chordata, Amphibia, Anura, Pelobatidae.